AGAGAUGAUGAAAUGUGCACUGGGCUCUGAGCAGUUGAAACUGCUUUUCUUGAUGGAUAAUAUGCAGCCUAGAAAGCUAUUCCUGAUCU
Camellia sinensis is the source of this 89-nucleotide small nucleolar RNA. Lineage: Eukaryota; Viridiplantae; Streptophyta; Magnoliopsida; Ericales; Theaceae. The record is from RefSeq and is a predicted model, not a curated record.